AACGAACGCUGGCGGCAGGCCUAACACAUGCAAGUCGAGCGAACCUUCGGGUUAGCGGCGGACGGGUUAGUAACGCGUGGGAACGUGCCCUUCUCUACGGAAUAGCCCAGGGAAACUUGGAGUAAUACCGUAUACGCCCUUUGGGGGAAAGAUUUAUCGGAGAAGGAUCGGCCCGCGUUGGAUUAGGUAGUUGGUGGGGUAAUGGCCUACCAAGCCGACGAUCCAUAGCUGGUUUGAGAGGAUGAUCAGCAACACUGGGACUGAGACACGGCCCAGACUCCUACGGGAGGCAGCAGUGGGGAAUCUUAGACAAUGGGGGAAACCCUGAUCUAGCCAUGCCGCGUGAGUGAUGAAGGCCUUAGGGUUGUAAAGCUCUUUCAGCUGGGAAGAUAAUGACGGUACCAGCAGAAGAAGCCCCGGCUAACUCCGUGCCAGCCGCCGCGGUAA
This 447-nucleotide ribosomal RNA is filed under the name uncultured bacterium. RNAcentral describes it as "partial 16S ribosomal RNA". It matches the Rfam family "Bacterial small subunit ribosomal RNA", at positions 29 to 523 of the family's 1533-position model. The record is from RNAcentral.